GAGAAUAGAACUUUAGAUGUGAAUGCAGUCCAGUAAUCGAGGAGGUUUUCUAAUUUCAAGCAGCCUCUUUCGAAGAUCUUCGAAAGGCUAGUACAUAAUGGCCUACUCCUACCAACCGCCCUCAAGAAGCCACCAAACCCUAAAGCACCUGGUUAUAGACCCAACACCUACUACAAAUUCCGCCAAGCACCCGACACCACAUAAACAACCGUAUCUGCCUUAAACACGAACUCCAAGACCUUAUUGAUGCUAGAAAGCUUACUGACUCUGACCAACUCA
This 279-nucleotide long non-coding RNA is filed under the name Ricinus communis (castor bean). RNAcentral describes it as "long non-coding RNA (RCOM_LNC002349)". Lineage: Eukaryota; Viridiplantae; Streptophyta; Magnoliopsida; Malpighiales; Euphorbiaceae. The record is from RNAcentral.